GGGAAAUUGAAGAAUCGCGACUUGGACAGCGUUUCCGGUUUAGAUGGUGGCUCGUCAAAAUCGGACAAUUCGCUUCGACGGUCCAAUGAAGAGCGUUUCGAGUCGCUUUCUAAACUAUGCAUUUUGUGUGAAAACGGCUAGAAUAUCAUGUGAUAUCGAUUUAAAUAUACAUGCAGGUCAGACCAGAAAACAUUAUACUUUCUCAGAGAAGAAAAAAAC
Caenorhabditis elegans is the source of this 219-nucleotide non-coding RNA. Lineage: Eukaryota; Metazoa; Nematoda; Chromadorea; Rhabditida; Rhabditidae. The record is from Ensembl.